Molecule: small nuclear RNA, 352 nt
Filed under: Propithecus coquereli (Coquerel's sifaka)
Lineage: Eukaryota; Metazoa; Chordata; Mammalia; Primates; Indriidae
Description: 7SK RNA (ENSPCOG00000000762.1)
Rfam family: 7SK RNA
About the family: 7SK was discovered as an abundant small nuclear RNA in the mid-70s but a possible function has only recently been suggested. Two independent studies have found that 7SK RNA binds the CDK9/cyclin T complex (known as elongation factor P-TEFb).
Source: RNAcentral
GGAUGUGAGAGUGAUCUGGCUGCGACAUCUAUCACUCCACUGAUUGCCAGGGUUGAUUUGGCUUAUCUGGCUGGCUAAGCAGAUGUCCCCUUCCUCACUCACUGCUCCAUGUGUGUCCCUCCUGAAGCUGUGCACCUGGUUGAAGAGAAUGACCUUCCCAGAUAAAAGAGGACCGUUCUUUGGUUGAGGGUAUACUAGUAGCUGCACUCCCCUGCUAGAACUUCCGAACAAGCACUCAAAAGCACAACAAGCAAACAAAGGAAAAGUAGAUAAACUGACAUGAUCAGAAGCACAUCAAGAAAGUGAACAGAAAAUCACAGAAUGGAAGAAAAUAUUUCCAAAUAAUUUAUCU